Molecule: unclassified non-coding RNA, 250 nt
Filed under: Melitaea cinxia (Glanville fritillary)
Lineage: Eukaryota; Metazoa; Arthropoda; Insecta; Lepidoptera; Nymphalidae
Description: misc RNA ENSMCXG00005003760.1
Source: RNAcentral
CCCUUUUGGGGUUAAAACGGGAGAUGGUAGGUUGACUCACUGAUCACGAAAUCUCCGAAACUAUAACAGCUACAAACUUGAAAUUUGGCAAGUAGGUUUCUUAUAGGGCGUAGACAUCCGUUAAGAACGGAUUUUAUGAAACUCGACCCCUAAGGGGAUAAAACGGGGGUUGGAAGUUUGUAUGAAAGUCCUAUGUUUUUGAAGUAAGAGACUCGAAAUUUAAAAUGUAUGUUCUAUAGAUGGUGAGGAG